AAACCAACAGGGAUUGCCUCAGUAACGGCGAGUGAAGCGGCAAGAGCUCAAAUUUGAAAUCUGGCCCCUUUGGGGUCCGAGUUGUAAUUUGGAGAGGAUGCUUCGGGCGUGGCCCCCAUCUAAGUGCCCUGGAACGGGCCGUCAUAGAGGGUGAGAAUCCCGUCUGGGAUGGGUGGCCCCGCCCGUGUGAAGCUCCCUCGAAGAGUCGAGUUGUUUGGGAAUGCAGCUCUAAGAGGGUGGUAAAUUUCAUCUAAAGCUAAAUAUUGGCCGGAGACCGAUAGCGCACAAGUAGAGUGAUCGAAAGAUGAAAAGCACUUUGAAAAGAGAGUUAAACAGCACGUGAAAUUGUUGAAAGGGAAGCGUUGUCCCCCAGACUCGCCCGAAGGGUUCAGCCGGCACUUGUGCCGGUGCACUCCCUCUCGGGCGGGCCAGCGUCGGUUUGGGCGGCCGGUCAAAGGCCCCGGGAAUGUAACUCCCCUCGGGGAGCCUUAUAGCCCAGGGUGCCAUGCGACCUGCCUGGACCGAGGAACGCGCUUCGGCUCGGACGCUGGCGUAAUGGGGGUCAACGGC
This 570-nucleotide ribosomal RNA is filed under the name fungal sp. QmPlEG-2-45. RNAcentral describes it as "LSU rRNA". It matches the Rfam family "Eukaryotic large subunit ribosomal RNA", at positions 62 to 648 of the family's 3401-position model. The record is from RNAcentral. Lineage: Eukaryota; Fungi.